RNAcentral lists this ribosomal RNA (466 nucleotides) under uncultured bacterium. Its description in RNAcentral is "bacterial SSU rRNA". It matches the Rfam family "Bacterial small subunit ribosomal RNA", at positions 329 to 794 of the family's 1533-position model. The record is from RNAcentral.
AGCCAGACUCCUACGGGAGGCAGCAGUGAGGAAUAUUGGUCAAUGGCCGAGAGGCUGAACCAGCCAAGUCGCGUGAGGGAAGACGGCCCUACGGGUUGUAAACCUCUUUUGUCGGGGAGCAAAGCGAGUCACGUGUGACUCAUUGAGAGUACCCGAAGAAAAAGCAUCGGCUAACUCCGUGCCAGCAGCCGCGGUAAUACGGAGGAUGCGAGCGUUAUCCGGAUUUAUUGGGUUUAAAGGGUGCGUAGGCGGGCUUUUAAGUCAGCGGUAAAAAUUCGGGGCUCAACCCCGUCCGCCGUUGAAACUGACGGUCUUGAGUGGGCGAGAAGUAUGCGGAAUGCGUGGUGUAGCGGUGAAAUGCAUAGAUAUCACGCAGAACUCCGAUUGCGAAGGCAGCAUACCGGCGCCCAACUGACGCUGAAGCACGAAAGCGUGGGUAUCGAACAGGAUUAGAUCCCCCCGUACA